AUGGCGCUGUGGACUGGGCUGGGUCAGGCGGCGACCGUGGCACAACUGGUUGGCGCAGACAUUGGCGGGCUAAUCUCUAUGUUCAUGCAGGCUGCACUGACAGCUCGGCAGAACAAGAAGGAGUGCGAGCAGCUCGCCCGUCGGGUCUUGUUGAUCGCCCAGCUGCUGCCGCAAGUGCAGGACCGGGAGGCGGCACAGCAGCUGGCUGGGCUAGAAGACACGCUUCGGGACGCCCACGAGCUCGUCGUGUCCUGCCCGGGGAGGAGCACGGCGUAUCAAGUAUUCAUGGCCGGGAGGCAGGCCGAAAGGUUCAAGGAGGUGCAGAGCAACAUCGACUUCUACCUCAUGCUCUUCCCCGUGAUCAGCCACAUCGACGUAACAUGCCGCCUCGGCCAAAUCUACGAGGUCCUUGUACCAGAUGACUCCACAACAGGUGAACUAGCUCCACUUCCACAGUCGUCCCAUCUGCAGGAGUUUACGGAGGUUGCUAAAGAGGUACUCCCGCAUGGAACCCAGGAAUUCACGUUCCCAGAGCUGGAGGCUGCCACCAAUAACUUCCACCGUGACAACCUGAUCAGACAAAGGCGGCCCUGCAAUUGUCUAUUGGGGUGGAAAAAAGUGCGGGAAGAGCCGGAAAUCGAGGAGAGGAUGAUCGUCUCCGAGUACAUGGAGAACGGCAAGCUCUAUGACCACCUGCACUCUGAUCAGUACUCGGGUCAGUACUCCUCCUCACUGUCGUCGGUGACGGUGUCUUGGAAGAUCCACAUCGAUGUGCUCCUCGGCGCGUCGCGCGCCAUCGAGUACCCGCACUGCCAUGCCGAACCGCGGAUCAUCCACCGGGACGGUAGGUUAUAUAACAUCCUUCUCGACGCCAAUUGGGUGCCGCAUUUGUCGGACUUUGGCGCGUCGGUUGCGUUACAGGUGGGUGAUGCUCGAGGUUCUAACAGGGAAAAGGGCAUUUUGGAGAGAGGAGGGGCAAGGGUCGACAGAUUUGGCAAGCUUCGCUCUCCCAAUAAUUGA
Molecule: ribosomal RNA, 1020 nt
Filed under: Triticum aestivum (bread wheat)
Lineage: Eukaryota; Viridiplantae; Streptophyta; Magnoliopsida; Poales; Poaceae
Description: partial small subunit ribosomal RNA
Source: RNAcentral